RNAcentral lists this ribosomal RNA (253 nucleotides) under uncultured bacterium. RNAcentral's name for it is "partial 16S ribosomal RNA". It matches the Rfam family "Bacterial small subunit ribosomal RNA", at positions 524 to 776 of the family's 1533-position model. The record is from RNAcentral.
UACGUAGGGCGCAAGCGUUGUCCGGAAUCAUUGGGCGUAAAGAGCUCGUAGGCGGCUUGUCACGUCGGGUGUGAAAGCCCGGGGCUUAACCCCGGGUCUGCAUUCGAUACGGGCUAGCUAGAGUGUGGUAGGGGAGAUCGGAAUUCCUGGUGUAGCGGUGAAAUGCGCAGAUAUCAGGAGGAACACCGGUGGCGAAGGCGGAUCUCUGGGCCAUUACUGACGCUGAGGAGCGAAAGCGUGGGGAGCGAACAGG